Molecule: small nuclear RNA, 107 nt
Organism: Mesoplodon densirostris (Blainville's beaked whale)
Lineage: Eukaryota; Metazoa; Chordata; Mammalia; Artiodactyla; Ziphiidae
Source: RefSeq, a predicted model, not a curated record
GUGCUCACUUCGGCAGCAUGUAUACUAAAACUAGAAUGAUUCAGAUAAGAUUAGCAUGGCCCCUAAGCAAGGAUGACAUGCAAAUUUGUGAAGCAUUCCAUAUUUUU